Non-coding RNA from Schizosaccharomyces pombe (fission yeast), 471 nucleotides. NCBI's taxonomy places the organism in Eukaryota, Fungi, Ascomycota, Schizosaccharomycetes, Schizosaccharomycetales, Schizosaccharomycetaceae. The record is from the annotation of a GenBank genome assembly.
UUUCGUUUAUAUUUUCAUCAUAAAAAGGAGGAAGUCCUGUAAUCAUUUCGUAAAGUAGCACACCUAAAGUCCACCAGUCAACAACUUUUGUAUAACCAUGACCCAAAAGCAAUUCAGGAGCGAGGUAUUCAGGGGUGCCACAAAAAGUAUUCGUUCUAUCGGUUUUAGCCAUGUUUAGCUUACAAAGUCCAAAAUCACACAAAGCAAUAUGACCGGUGUAGUCUAAUAAUAUGUUUUCCGGUUUUAAGUCUCGAUAAAUAACGUUGAACUCAUGCAAACAUUCCAAAGCAACAAGUAGUUCAGCAAUGUAAAAUUUGGCACGAUAUGUAUCAAAACAGCCUUCUCUUUGUAAGUGAUGAAAUAACUCACCACCGUUAACAAAGGCCAGGACAAGAUACAGCUUACCGGGAGAUUGAAAGGAGAACUUUAAUGGAACAAUAAAAGGGUUAUUAACUUGAGCAAGUACUGUCC